UCCUGGAACAGUUUAAACAGUGCUGGAGUGAUCCAUCCCUUAAAGGUUUGGUGGAACCUGAGGGGCCAACCUCAGCCUGCAGCUGGCACCUGAAAAGAAGGCCUCAGUGACUCAGAUGAUUGAUCCCAGCAGGGCAGUUUCCGUGGAGCCGACCAUAAGCCUCAGAGAUGCAGACUCCCACGUCCUUGGGGUGGGACUCUCCCUCCCUCCAUCCUGGAUCUUCUUGCUGGUCGAGCCUUUUUCCACAGAUCUAGAUACCCGUGGGCUGCUUGGAGUCUCCAUGAGUCUGCAUCAAGUUCUGUCUACUGUUCUUCCUCCACCAAGAAGUCUUCCCUGAUUGAGCCCUUGACAUCUGGUGGCUGUCUCUUUCUCUGCCCAGUCCUGACACUGAGUAGCUCCUUAGUCUCAUUUCCCUAACUGUCUCCUGUAAUGGGCUGGAUUGUGUCUCUCCCACCUUGCAAUUCAUAUGUUGAAGUCUCAAGUCCUCGGUACUGCAGAAUGUGAUUAGAUUUGGAGACAGGGUCGUUAAGAGGUGGUUAAGGCAAAAUGAGGUCAUGUGGGUGUCCUUAAUCCAAUAUGACUGGUGUCCUUGUAAGAAGAGACUAGGACAGGGACAUUCACAGAAGGAAGACCACGUGGAGACACAGGGAGGAAACAGUCACCUAUCAGUCAAGGAAAUAGGACUUAGAAGAAACCAAACCAGCUGACACCUUAAUCUUGGACUUCUAGCUUCCACAACUGUGACAUAAAGAAUUUCUGCUCUUGGGCUUCCCUGGUGGUCCAGUGGCUAGGAAUCCACCUGUCAGUGCAGGGUACAUGGGUUUGAUUCCUGGUCUGGAAAGAUUCCACAUGCCAAAAAGCAAUUAAGCCUGUGUGCCACGACUGUGAACCUGCAUUUUAGAGCCUCGGAGCCGCAACCCCUGAGCCCACACACCUAGACCUUGUGUUCUGCAGCAAGAGAAGCGACAGCAAUGAGAAGCCCUGCAGCAAAGAGUAGUCCCUGCUUGAUGCAACUAGAGGAAGCCCGUGCACA
Long non-coding RNA from Bos indicus x Bos taurus (hybrid cattle), 1033 nucleotides. The record is from Ensembl. Lineage: Eukaryota; Metazoa; Chordata; Mammalia; Artiodactyla; Bovidae.